This 531-nucleotide ribosomal RNA is filed under the name uncultured archaeon. RNAcentral describes it as "bacterial SSU rRNA". It matches the Rfam family "Archaeal small subunit ribosomal RNA", at positions 1 to 533 of the family's 1478-position model. The record is from RNAcentral.
AUUCCGGUUGAUCCUGCCGGAGGCCAUUGCUAUUGGGAUCCGAUUUAGCCAUGCUAGUCGCACGAGUUCAGACUCGUGGCGAAUAGCUCAGUAACACGUGGCCAAACUACCCUUCGGAACACAAUACCCUCGGGAAACUGAGGCUAAUAGUGUAUACCAUACCACCACUGGAAUGAGUGGUAUGCCAAACGCUCCGGCGCCGAAGGAUGUGGCUGCGGCCGAUUAGGUAGACGGUGGGGUAACGGCCCACCGUGCCAAUAAUCGGUAUGGGUCAUGAGAGUGAGAACCCAGAGACGGAAUCUGAGACAAGAUUCCGGGCCCUACGGGGCGCAGCAGGCGCGAAACCUUUACACUGCACGACAGUGCGAUAGGGGGAUCCCAAGUGCACAGGCAUAGCGCCUGUGCUUUUCGGUACCGUAAGGUGGUACCAGAAUAAGGGCUGGGCAAGACCGGUGCCAGCCGCCGCGGUAAUACCGGCAGCCCAAGUGAUGGCCGAUCUUAUUGGGCCUAAAGCGUCCGUAGCUACUUUCC